CGCACUCGCCCAGCUCCUCGCCUCUUCCUCCAGUCCCUACCUCCUGCGCACUCUCCCGCCUCGGUGGCCGGCCGAUUCCGGCCGCUCCGGUGAGCUCCGGCGCCGCCCAACACACACAAGGGUGCUCCUCGACGAGCUCUACUAGCUUCACCGAGUCGAUCUACCUCCCGCACUCACGCCGCUCCUCCCGCACGCACGCCGCGCCCUCACCUCUCUCGCCCCCUCCAAACCCUACCCCGCGCCCGCCUCCCUGCCCUGCCGUCGGCGGCGCCGCCGCCGCUCGCCCGGCACCCAUGCCCGGCCUCACACCGCCCAUCUAGAGAGAUGGGGGCCGCGCGCGACGAGGCCGGCGUGCCGUCGUCUCUUCUUCUGCCGCGCCCGCCUCCCUGCCCCGCCGUUGCUGCUCGCCCGGGUACCCGGCCGCGGGUGAUGUGGCCGACGUGCCGUCGUCCGGUCUUCUGCGAGGUCGAGGAGAGCCAAUCCCACCUCGCCGCCAUCUCCUUCAUCCAGCCGGCUGCCGCCUUGGCCGACUCCUCUUCCCCUCCCGUCCUCCUCCUCUCGCGUCUCCUUCCCGUCGUCAGGCCGCAUACUGCUCCACCCUUCCUCCUCCCCUCCCAUCGUUCCCCUCUAACGCUAGGAGUGGGUGAGGAGGCUGAGCCACUGCCCGCUGCCGGCCCGCAACACCUCCUGUUCGACCACGCCGAGGAAGCACUGAACCUUUAUCCUUGCGUCUGUGCACCUCUGGGAAGGAGACGACCCGAGAUUUGGAGUACGUGCAUUGAGGCUUAAAUGUGCAAAUGCACACUGCUGGAGCGCCCUUCAGCAACGACACGGCCGCCGCCUGCGUCGGUUCUCCCCAGCACGACACGGCCGCCGCCGGCAUCGGUUCUCCCCAGCACAGCCACUCUGAAGACGCCCAGGUCCACUGUAGCUGUUGUUUGUUCUGUUUGUUGAGGCUUGGUCGGCCUGCUGUCUGCUACCGUUUCAGGAGGUUGCAAGGUUCCUGAAAAUGCAUUGCCCCAAUGGGAUUACUACCUCACUGAAGUGCCUAACCUACCAAAUCCGCACCAGAUGAUAAUUUAAUAUGCCAAGGAAAUCGGAUACUCUGAAGCAGUAAAACGUUUCGAGCUUGAUGGUCAGCUUGGACCAUACAAUUUGGAUUCUUUUGGAGACUGGAAACAACUUUAAAGCUACUUGUCACAAUGUGUCAUUGAAUGCCUUGAGCCAAUUGGUGGCAAUUGCGUUGGAGACAUCAUGGAUGGAUAGAGCUCCCCAAAUGGAUAUGGAGAGACGAUUGAUGGAAACACUUAGAGAAGACAAAUUUGCAAAGAAAGCGCCUGCACACACUGAGAGGAGAGGAUGCUAUUACACAACUAUCCCGGCUUCGGUUAAGCACAGAAACUUUUCUGCAGAUGAUCUGACUUUGCUGAAUUUGGACAGAGUAAUGUUCUUAUUAUAUUAUCUGUUAGCAUACUUUGGCACGGUUAAUCUUAUCAGCGUGUAUCUGGUUUUUUAUGUCCUUUUUCCCCACAAGCGAUUUGCUGAAGCAAUAGUUUAUCUGAUGCGAACACAUCAUCAUUACAUUUGAACACUGAGAUCUUUGGGUGGCCUUACAUGUGGACACAACAGUCUGAACUUGAAUAGUACAACCUACAAUUGUAGCUAGCGCAUCAACACACAGCCAUGUGAAAACAUUAGUUUGCUGCCUUUAUUGCAUUUUUCUAGAGCCAUAAUUCUGUUAUAGCAUUUCCCUGCCUUUAUUGCUUUCAAAAACACCAUUGAUCAUAAGCUGAUUGCAGCUGUAGGGUCGGGUAUUUAAGCAUACCUCAGGAUAUUUAUAUUUUAGUUGGCAAAAUGUUAUGCCAAUUUUGUGAUUUAUCUAUUUAUUUCACCUUUUAAUACUUUGAAUAUACUAGCCCAUAUUGUUCAUUGCUCUGUAAAGUUAACUCUUGUAGGAACACUGAUUUGCAAAAUAACUUUCUAGCAUUACUUUCCUUAACUCUUCAACACAUACUAUUGGUUUUACUUUCCAUAAUCCUUUAACACAUACUUUAUUUUGCCCUUUUAUAUCCAAGAAUAAGCAUCUAGGGAGAACAUGAGCGUUCUCAGAGCUUAGCCACUGUCGGCCGUCGGAUCAUUUUUUACUUUCCAUAAUCCUUCAACACAUACUUUAUUUUGCCCUUUUAUAUGUGUUGUGAUGUGAGGAGACAUCGGUAGCAGUGGCGGUCGGGCUGAUGUGGACACGGCUGCGAGCUUGAUGUGAGGAAGCGUCAGCGACGAGCUCACCAGGCUCUCCCAACGCGCCUGCUGGACCUCUAGGUUGCCGCCGUCGCGGAGCUGGACGAGGUCAUGGCGGCUUCAAGCUUUUUAGGCUAAUGCUCCUCUGUCCACGGAAUCCCAGAGCAGCAAGGUGUGUUGCUGCUACUCCCUAUACCUCUUGAUGUUAGCAUUCUCCGUCCAUAGCUAAGAUGUGCUGCUGCUGCUGCUGUAGAUUGACAUUUGUAUGCUCUUGCUGCUGUACAUUUGAUUAUCCGUAGCUUUUUAGGCUGCUACUCCUCUGUCCAUGGCGUCCUGGAGCGAAACAUGCUGUUCUUUGUCGAGUGAUAUGUGAAAAACAAAGGGUUCGGUUUGUUUGUGUUAGAUUGAUGUUUCUGAAAGAGAAUGGGAAGAAUGACAUGUUCAUUGGCUUCUGUUGUUUGGUUUGGUCUUCCUAGGUUAUUAUGAUUUCUGGAUGCUCAGUUUGAAAUUAAAUAUGGUAUGUGCUUUUUGAAUCUGCAAGUGAGAAUAAUUAAAUAUGGCUUGUGCAAUUCAGUCGUCGUUGCUAUAUGCUUUACUUUGAGAACAGAUGGACUCUCUUAUGUUGAUCUUGAGAGAAAUUUGUUUUUCAGUUUUUCUUAGAUGUACUUUGAUCUGCUGUGAGCCUUGUGGUUGCAAUCAGUGUGUUUAUUUUGGCUAAAUUAUGAGUUGUCCUGAAUCCGACGUUGUGUGCACAACUACGAGGGGGUGGAGAUGAAAUGGGGCCAAAUGAUCCCGCGGCAACAAUAGCAGAUAUAAAUUCGUGUUGCUAGGGUGCAGAAUGACCUGACUUCGAGAAAAAACAUGGAGAUUCAAGUGCCAUUUUUCCUGCCAAUUUCAUAUUUCAGCAGCUUUCAGAGACGCCUCUUCCUUUUUCAGCAACGUGCCUCUGCGUCAUUCAGCGGUCCUCUGUUUCGGAAUAGUCAUAGAAGAUGAUUUUUAAAUUAUUUAUUUGGAAGCAUAUAAUGCGCAUACAACUGAAAUCUGCUUAUGUUCAAGUUGAUUGCAACCACCCUUGGAUCCCUUAGUAUGACUACUUAUAUAACCUCAUGGUGGAAGCAAGUUUUUUUUGUUUUCCUUCAGUCAUUUUCAUCAUGUGAAAUGAGCUACUGUAAAACAGCAAUGUAGCUUGACUAUUUAUCUGUACUUGAAGUCUACAAGUGUUUUCUUAAGUAAACAAGAACCACCUGAACGAGAAUAAUUAAUUUCAUAACUGGUAAAUAAACUGAAUUGAGCAUUUCUUACAUUUUUUGGUUCAGAGCUUUUAUUGUCUCUUUGGUAAUAUGUUGGAGUUUACUUUUCCUAUGGCAUCCAUUUAUUUUGGAGGUUAUUUGCAUGUAUACUGGUAUGCGGUUGUCUGUGUGCCCCCUUACAGCUGCUUAUUAUCUGUAAGUGGUGAAAAAUAUUUUCCUGAGUUUAAUUGUAUGUAUCAAGCCACUUGGUGGAAAGACCUCCUAUUGUGUCCUGACAUGUGAAUUGAAUGAUGUGGUUAUAUUAACAUUGCUCUUUGUUUUGAUGUCCGUUUCUUUA
Molecule: long non-coding RNA, 3825 nt
Organism: Triticum dicoccoides
Lineage: Eukaryota; Viridiplantae; Streptophyta; Magnoliopsida; Poales; Poaceae
Exons: 7
Source: RefSeq, a predicted model, not a curated record